Molecule: ribosomal RNA, 255 nt
Filed under: uncultured bacterium
Lineage: Bacteria
Description: partial 16S ribosomal RNA
Rfam family: Bacterial small subunit ribosomal RNA
Source: RNAcentral
CGGACGGGUGAGUAACGCGUGGAGAACCUGCCGUAUACUGGGGGAUAACACUUAGAAAUAGGUGCUAAUACCGCAUAAGCGCACAGCUUCGCAUGAAGCAGUGUGAAAAACUCCGGUGGUAUACGAUGGAUCCGCGUCUGAUUAGCUUGUUGGCGGGGUAAAGGCCCACCAAGGCGACGAUCAGUAGCCGGCCUGAGAGGGUGAACGGCCACAUUGGGACUGAGACACGGCCCAAACUCCUACGGGAGGCAGCAG